AAAAAGACAAACUCUGGUUUUCGUGUCCAACGUUUGACCGUCCGUCUUAUUUAAAAAAAUUAUAAAAAACUUAAAAAGACAAGUCAUGCAUAAAAUAUUAAUCAUGUUUUAUCAUCUAACAACAAUGAAAAUAUGAAUUAUAAAAUAUUUUAUAUAAGACGGAUAGUUAAAAUUAGACAUGGAAACCUAUAGUUUAACUUUUU
Molecule: microRNA precursor, 203 nt
Filed under: Oryza glumipatula
Lineage: Eukaryota; Viridiplantae; Streptophyta; Magnoliopsida; Poales; Poaceae
Description: MIR812 microRNA precursor family
Rfam family: MIR812 microRNA precursor family
Source: Rfam by way of RNAcentral